UACGUAGGGGGCAAGCGUUGUCCGGAAUCAUUGGGCGUAAAGCGCGUGUAGGCGGUCCGGUAAGUCCGCUGUGAAAGUCCAGGGCUCAACCCUGGGAUGCCGGUGGAUACUGUCGGGCUCGAGUCCGGAAGAGGCGAGUGGAAUUCCUGGUGUAGCGGUGAAAUGCGCAGAUAUCAGGAGGAACACCAAUGGCGAAGGCAGCUCGCUGGGACGUGACUGACGCUGAGACGCGAAAGCGUGGGGAGCAAACAGG
This 253-nucleotide ribosomal RNA is filed under the name uncultured bacterium. Its description in RNAcentral is "partial 16S ribosomal RNA". It matches the Rfam family "Bacterial small subunit ribosomal RNA", at positions 524 to 776 of the family's 1533-position model. The record is from RNAcentral.